GACGAACGCUGGCGGCGUGCCUAAUACAUGCAAGUAGAACGCUGAAGGAGGAGCUUGCUCUUCUGGAUGAGUUGCGAACGGGUGAGUAACGCGUAGGUAACCUGCCUGGUAGCGGGGGAUAACUAUUGGAAACGAUAGCUAAUACCGCAUAAUAGUAGAUGUUGCAUGAUAUUUACUUAAAAGGUGCAAUUGCACCACUACCAGAUGGACCUGCGUUGUAUUAGCUAGUUGGUGGGGUAACGGCUCACCAAGGCGACGAUACAUAGCCGACCUGAGAGGGUGAUCGGCCACACUGGGACUGGGACACGGCCCAGACUCCUACGGGAGGCAGCAGUAGGGAAUCGUCGGCAAGGGACGAAAGUCUGACCGAGCAACGCCGCGUGAGUGAAGAAGGUUUUCGGAUCGUAAAGCUCUGUUGUAAGAGAAGAACGAGUGUGAGAGUGGAAAGUUCACACUGUGACGGUAUCUUACCAGAAAGGGACGGCUAACUACGUG
RNAcentral lists this ribosomal RNA (495 nucleotides) under uncultured bacterium. RNAcentral describes it as "partial 16S ribosomal RNA". It matches the Rfam family "Bacterial small subunit ribosomal RNA", at positions 28 to 507 of the family's 1533-position model. The record is from RNAcentral.